This 152-nucleotide ribosomal RNA is filed under the name Staphylococcus epidermidis. RNAcentral's name for it is "partial 16S ribosomal RNA". It matches the Rfam family "Bacterial small subunit ribosomal RNA", at positions 1 to 146 of the family's 1533-position model. Lineage: Bacteria; Bacillati; Bacillota; Bacilli; Caryophanales; Staphylococcaceae. The record is from RNAcentral.
UUUUAUGGAGAGUUUGAUCCUGGCUCAGGAUGAACGCUGGCGGCGUGCCUAAUACAUGCAAGUCGAGCGAACAGACGAGGAGCUUGCUCCUCUGACGUUAGCGGCGGACGGGUGAGUAACACGUGGAUAACCUACCUAUAAGACUGGAAUAA